UUCUCAUUGACUCUGCCUGUUGGAAAUGACUUCCUGCCUGACAUCAAGCUUCUGGUGUAUGCCGUCUUCUCGGAUGGAGAGGUGGUGGCUGAUGUGGAGCAGUUUGAAGUAGAAAUGUGCUUUAGACAUAAGGUGGCACUGGAAUUCUCACACAAGGAGGAGGUCCCAGGAUCACAAGUCAAACUGAACCUCAAGGCUGCUCCAGGGUCCUUGUGCUCUGUGCGAGCUGUUGACAAGAGCAUCCUCCUGAAGAGGAACGAAACCCUAACAGCAGAGAGCUUGCAUGAGGAAAUCUUCAAGGACAGCUUCAUGGUUGGAGGACGAGGCUUGCCUUACCGCCUGGAAGACUUUGAGGCAUACCCUUGCCUGCCCCAGCAGCCCAGACCCCACAAAAAGGCUAGGAUGGGUGCACCGUGGUACCAAAGUGAGGCUGAUGUCUAUAACCUGUUUAAGGUGGGUGCCUACAGCUC
This 470-nucleotide long non-coding RNA is filed under the name Chloebia gouldiae (Gouldian finch). Its description in RNAcentral is "Erythrura gouldiae (Gouldian finch) lncRNA (ENSEGOG00005006448.1)". The record is from RNAcentral. Lineage: Eukaryota; Metazoa; Chordata; Aves; Passeriformes; Passeridae.